Nycticebus coucang (slow loris) is the source of this 107-nucleotide small nuclear RNA. NCBI's taxonomy places the organism in Eukaryota, Metazoa, Chordata, Mammalia, Primates, Lorisidae. The record is from RefSeq and is a predicted model, not a curated record.
AUGCUUUCUGCAGCAGCACAUACACUAAAAUUGGAAUGAUACGGAGGAGAUGAGCCCGGCUCCUGCGCAGGGAUGACACACAGAUGUACGAAACCUUCCAUAUUUUU